Molecule: long non-coding RNA, 372 nt
Organism: Triticum aestivum (bread wheat)
Lineage: Eukaryota; Viridiplantae; Streptophyta; Magnoliopsida; Poales; Poaceae
Exons: 3
Source: RefSeq, a predicted model, not a curated record
UUUUCUUUUUACUUUUGCGCUAAGGAUAAGGGAACUGAGAAAAAAAGAGCUGGCUUGGCUGGUACAUCAAGCAUAUGACAUAUUGCUUGUUCGGUGUGGUACACAUAUUUGUCAAUGUCAAUCAAGUAAGAAAAUGCAUUCCCACUGUCUGAGGAAAAGGUGAAGAAUUGCAAUUUAUUGAGCUUGUAAGGCCCGUUGAAGUCCCUGAGAAAGGGUAUAAAUAGGGCUAUAAGUAGGCCGUUUGCUAUUGCAAUAAGGGCUGCUCGCCUUUCCUUUUCACGGCUUGGCUUCCUAUCGCUCCUAUGUAGUUGUCGGCCUUAAAAGGAGUCUUCCUACCAUACCAUCAUGCAUGCCUAUGAGAUCGGAAGGGCA